Molecule: ribosomal RNA, 484 nt
Filed under: uncultured bacterium
Lineage: Bacteria
Description: partial 16S ribosomal RNA
Rfam family: Bacterial small subunit ribosomal RNA
Source: RNAcentral
AUUGAACGCUGGCGGCAUGCUUUACACAUGCAAGUCGAACGGCAGCGCGGGCUUCGGCCUGGCGGCGAGUGGCGAACGGGUGAGUAAUGCAUCGGAACGUGCCCAGUAGUGGGGGAUAGCCCGGCGAAAGCCGGAUUAAUACCGCAUACGACCUGAGGGUGAAAGCGGGGGACCGAAAGGCCUCGCGCUAUUGGAGCGGCCGAUGUCGGAUUAGCUAGUUGGUGGGGUAAAGGCUUACCAAGGCGACGAUCCGUAGCUGGUCUGAGAGGACGACCAGCCACACUGGGACUGAGACACGGCCCAGACUCCUACGGGAGGCAGCAGUGGGGAAUUUUGGACAAUGGGGGCAACCCUGAUCCAGCCAUGCCGCGUGCGGGAAGAAGGCCUUCGGGUUGUAAACCGCUUUUGUUCGGGAAGAAAUCCUCUGGGCUAAUACCCCGGGGGAAUGACGGUACCGGAAGAAUAAGCACCGGCUAACUACGUG